CCACUGAGUUUUUGAAGGGCUGCGGUAAUUUGACCGUGCAAAGGUAGCAUAAUAAGUAGUCUUUUAAUUGAAGGCUUGUAUGAACGGUUGGAUGAGGGAAAAGCUGUCUCUCUUACAAUUUAAAACUUGACUUUUAAGUGAAAAGGCUUAAAUAACGUAGUGGGACGAUAAGACCCUAUAAAACUUUAUAUGUCGUUUGCUUUUUCUUAAAAUUUUAUGUAAACUUUGAGAAGCAUUUCUCAUAUUUUGUUGGGGAGACAUUGAUAUAAGCUGUAACUGUCUAAAUAAAAUAUAUAAUAAUCAUUAGAAUUUGAUCCUUCUUUGUGGAUAAAAAGAAUAAGUUACUUUAGGGAUAACAGCGUAAUUUUUUCUGAGAGUUCUUAUCGAAGAAAAUAGUUGCGACCUCGAUGUUGAAUUAAAACUUCAAGUAGGUGUAGCCGCUUGCUGAGUAGGUCUGUUCGACCUUUAAAGUUUUACGUGAUCUGAGUU
RNAcentral lists this ribosomal RNA (489 nucleotides) under Palaemon australis. RNAcentral's name for it is "partial 16S ribosomal RNA". It matches the Rfam family "Bacterial large subunit ribosomal RNA", at positions 1863 to 2611 of the family's 2925-position model. Lineage: Eukaryota; Metazoa; Arthropoda; Malacostraca; Decapoda; Palaemonidae. The record is from RNAcentral.